RNAcentral lists this ribosomal RNA (253 nucleotides) under uncultured bacterium. RNAcentral describes it as "partial 16S ribosomal RNA". It matches the Rfam family "Bacterial small subunit ribosomal RNA", at positions 524 to 776 of the family's 1533-position model. The record is from RNAcentral.
UACGUAGGCAGCAAGCGUUGUUCGGAAUUACUGGGCGUAAAGAGUGUGUAGGCGGUGCUCUAAGUGUGGUGUGAAAUCUCCCGGCUUAACUGGGAGGGUGCGCCGCAGACUGGAGUGCUAGAGUGUGGGAGAGGUAAGCGGAAUUCCUGGUGUAGCGGUGAAAUGCGUAGAUAUCAGGAGGAACACCUGUGGUGUAGACAGCUUACUGGACCACGACUGACGCUGAGACACGAAAGCGUGGGUAGCAAACAGG